GAUGAACGCUAGCGACAGGCUUAACACAUGCAAGUCGAGGGGCAGCAUAAGGUAGCAAUACUGAGAUGGCGACCGGCGCACGGGUGAGUAACGCGUAUGCAACCUACCUAUCAGAGGGGAAUAACCCGGCGAAAGUCGGACUAAUACCGCAUAAAACAGGGGUCCCGCAUGGGAAUAUUUGUUAAAGAUUUAUUGCUGAUAGAUGGGCAUGCGUUCCAUUAGAUAGUUGGUGAGGUAACGGCUCACCAAGUCUGCGAUGGAUAGGGGUUCUGAGAGGAACGGUCCCCCANACUGGUACUGAGACACGGACCAGACUCCUACGGGAGGCAGCAGUGAGGAAUAUUGG
This 346-nucleotide ribosomal RNA is filed under the name uncultured Parabacteroides sp. RNAcentral describes it as "bacterial SSU rRNA". It matches the Rfam family "Bacterial small subunit ribosomal RNA", at positions 28 to 367 of the family's 1533-position model. Lineage: Bacteria; Pseudomonadati; Bacteroidota; Bacteroidia; Bacteroidales; Tannerellaceae. The record is from RNAcentral.